Molecule: ribosomal RNA, 493 nt
Filed under: uncultured Corynebacterium sp.
Lineage: Bacteria; Bacillati; Actinomycetota; Actinomycetes; Mycobacteriales; Corynebacteriaceae
Description: partial 16S ribosomal RNA
Source: RNAcentral
CACGUAGUUAGCCGGUGCUUCUUAUCUAGGUACCGUCACAAAAAGCUUCGUCCCUAGCGAAAGGAGUUUACAGCCCGAAGGCCGUCAUCCCCCACGCGGCGUCGCUGCAUCAGGCUUGCGCCCAUUGUGCAAUAUUCCCCACUGCUGCCUCCCGUAGGAGUCUGGGCCGUAUCUCAGUCCCAAUGUGGCCGUCCACCCUCUCAGGCCGGCUACCCGUCGCCGCCUUGGUAGGCCAUUACCCCACCAACAAGCUGAUAGGCCGCGAGCUCAUCCUACACCGAAAAAACUUUCCAACCAUCACACUAAAAAAUGGCUCCUAUCCGGUAUUAGACCCAGUUUCCCAGGCUUAUCCCGAAGUGCAGGGCAGAUCACCCACGUGUUACUCACCCGUUCGCCACUCGAGUACCCUGCAAGCAGGGCCUUUCCGUUCGACUUGCAUGUGUUAAGCACGCCGCCAGCGUUCGUCCUCGUAGCCACGGAGUCAAAACUACUA